This 343-nucleotide unclassified non-coding RNA is filed under the name soil metagenome. RNAcentral describes it as "partial contains 5.8S ribosomal RNA, internal transcribed spacer 2, and large subunit ribosomal RNA". The stretch from base 1 to 120 matches the Rfam family "5.8S ribosomal RNA", at positions 35 to 154 of the family's 154-position model. The record is from RNAcentral.
GAUGAAGAACGUAGUGAAACGCGAUAAGUAAUGUGAAUUGCAGAAUCCAGUGAAUCAUCGAAUCUUUGAACGCACAUUGCGCCCGCCAGCAUUCUGGCGGGCAUGCCUGUUCGAGCGUCAUUUCAACCCUCGACCUCCCCUUGGGGAGGUCGGCGUUGGGGACCGGCAGCACACCGCCGGCCCUGAAAUGGAGUGGCGGCCCGUCCGCGGCGACCUCUGCGCAGUAAUACAGCUCGCACCUGGACCCCGACGCGGCCACGCCGUAAAACACCCAACUUCUGAACGUUGACCUCGAAUCAGGUAGGACUACCCGCUGAACUUAAGCAUAUCAAUAAGCGGAGGA